UACAGAGGGUGCGAGCGUUAAUCGGAAUUACUGGGCGUAAAGCGCACGUAGGUGGCGACGUAAGUCGGGUGUGAAAGCCCCGGGCUCAACCUGGGAAUUGCAUUCGAGACUGCAUUGCUGGAGUACGGAAGAGGAAGGCGGAAUUCCCGGUGUAGCGGUGAAAUGCGUAGAUAUCUGGAGGAACACCGGUGGCGAAGGCGGCUUUCUGGACAAAUACCGACGCUGAGGCACGAAAGCUAGGGGAGCAAACAGG
This 253-nucleotide ribosomal RNA is filed under the name uncultured bacterium. RNAcentral describes it as "partial 16S ribosomal RNA". It matches the Rfam family "Bacterial small subunit ribosomal RNA", at positions 524 to 776 of the family's 1533-position model. The record is from RNAcentral.